AGGAACAUAGCUCAAAUGGCAGAGCGACAGAUUUUUAAUCUGUAGGUGCAGGCUCAAACCCUGCUGUUUUUA
Molecule: transfer RNA, 72 nt
Filed under: Streptococcus gallolyticus
Lineage: Bacteria; Bacillati; Bacillota; Bacilli; Lactobacillales; Streptococcaceae
Description: tRNA_Lys_TTT
Rfam family: tRNA
About the family: Transfer RNA (tRNA) molecules are approximately 80 nucleotides in length. Their secondary structure includes four short double-helical elements and three loops (D, anti-codon, and T loops).
Source: RNAcentral